GUGCUCACUUCAGCAGCACCUACACUAAAGUUAGAACAAUGCAGCAAAGGUUAGCAUGGCCCCUGCGCAAGCAGGAUAACAUGCAAAUUCAUGAAGUAGUCUUUAUUUUU
Molecule: small nuclear RNA, 110 nt
Organism: Mastomys coucha (southern multimammate mouse)
Lineage: Eukaryota; Metazoa; Chordata; Mammalia; Rodentia; Muridae
Source: RefSeq, a predicted model, not a curated record